CUUUCUUUGCUGGCGACCGGCGCACGGGUGAGUAACACGUAUCCAACCUGCCCUUUACUCGGGGAUAGCCUUUCGAAAGAAAGAUUAGUACCCGAUGGCAUAAUGAUUCCGCAUGGUUUCAUUAUUAAAGGAUUCCGGUAAAGGAUGGGGAUGCGUUCCAUUAGGUUGUUGGUGAGGUAACGGCCCACCAAGCCUUCGAUGGAUAGGGGUUCUGAGAGGAAGGUCCCCCACAUUGGAACUGAGACACGGUCCAA
RNAcentral lists this ribosomal RNA (254 nucleotides) under uncultured bacterium. RNAcentral describes it as "partial 16S ribosomal RNA". It matches the Rfam family "Bacterial small subunit ribosomal RNA", at positions 79 to 334 of the family's 1533-position model. The record is from RNAcentral.